CAUGGUGAAGAAGAAGAAGAAGACGACGCUGAGUUGAAGAAGGAGAAUUUAACAAAGUCUUGUCUUUUUGCUCGUUUUAUUACCUUUAUUAGAAGACUUGAACCAAAGAAAACCAGCUAGAAUCCAAGCUAAGAUGCCAGAAAACCAACGGAGAUCACAUUCUCCUCGACGGUCAUCUUCCAGUGGCACAAAAACCAAAAGAGAAAAGUCAUCAAAUGAGAGCAGCUCAAACACAAAAGAUGGCGCCUCAAACAGAAAUCGCGACUCCAAUAGUUUUAAAGACAAUUAUAGACAAGAAAGGAACAGAACUGUCUCUUAUAGCUCAGGUUUAAAGAAGGAAAGAAAGUUUACAGGUCGUUGCCGGCUUUUUGUUGGUAAUUUAGUUGACUGCGAUGAGCAAGAGAUGAAAGAAAUGUUCUCCAAGUACGGCGAGGUUGCCGAAGUCUUCGUGAACAAAGAAAAAGGUUUCGGUUUUAUUCGCUUGGACACAAGGCUGAAUGCCGAGGCUGCAAAAGCUGGCAUGGAUAUGACUCAACGCAAGGGCCGAACAGUGCGCGUACGUUUUGCUACCCAUGCUGCUGCCAUACAGGUCCAUGAAUUUGGGUCCUAUGUAACGAAUGAGGUUCUGGAACAAGCGUUUUCUCAGUUUGGUGAUGUAGAAAGAGCUGUAGUUGUUUGUGACGACAGAGGGAGGUCUAAGAAUUAUGGGAUUGUAGAGUUUGCAAGAAAAAGCAGUGCUAACAAUGCUAUGCAUAAGGUUAAAGACAACCUAUUUCUUUUGGGAAGGACACCAAAACCAAUCACUGUCAAAGCCUACGAACAAGAAGAUGAAGAAGAUGGCCUUCCCGAGAAGAAUUUGGAGAGACAACCUGGCUAUCAAAAGGAAAGAGAGGUUCCUCCACAUUUUGCCACACCAGGAACCUUUGAAUAUGAAUGGGCUCAGCGAUGGAAGUCUCUAGAGGAAAUGGAGCAAUCCCAGAGAGAAACACUUGAUAAGCAGUUUAAAGAGGCUCGUGAAAAACUGGAGAAUGAAAUGCAGCAGGCCAUCAAAGAUCAUGAAGCUAUGUUAAUGAGACAAGCUGACAUGCAAAGACGACAAGAAGAGAUGCGAAGGCAUGAAGAAAUGCAACACAGAGAAGAGAUGAGAAGACAAGAAAUGAUGCAAAAAGAGGUGGAAAUGAUGAGACGCAGAGAGGAAGAAAGAAGGUAUCAGGAAGAAUUGAGAAUGCAGGAAGAAGCUCGACACAGGGAAGAAAUGAUGUACAGACAAAGACAAGAUGAUUUUAUGCGACGACAGGAAGAAAUGAUGAGAAAUGACAUGAGACCAAUGCCUUUCCCUCCUCGUGGAAUGCCUCCAAAGGGUCCUCGUGGUGAUUGGGGUCCUGGCCCCAUGGGUCCUAUGGGAAUGGGCCCUGGACCAGGCAUGGGACCACCACCUCACAUGCAUGGCCCUCGAGGACCCCCAAUGGGACCAGGUCCGAUGCCACCAAUGGGUAUUUGGUGAGAGAUUUGUGCACAUCAAAUAAGGAUGUUUUGUCCAGCCAUGUGACAGGGCACCAUCAAUGUGCCAGUAAUGUUCUGUACUUGAACCAAAGUACCAACAACAAAGGUUUUAGAUCAUUAAACCUGUCAUUACCAAGGCUUUCCCCAGUCGGUAGGCAGUAUUUUGCACAACAACACACUCCUGCGGAAGAAGAAAAGCUAAGCAGUAGAGUACCCACACUGUUAAAUUGGUUUCAAGUCUAAUGUUGUCAGACAAUGCUAUGCAGUACUCCAGUAUGCAGUGUUCUAUAAAGUGGAGAACACCUACUGAAACUAAAGCCUAAAACAAUAGUGUGCCCACAAUGCCAUAUUACAGUCUAUUAAGAACAGGAACAUUGGUUUCAAGCUACCUCUACACUUCAAAUGAUACAGUGAUGUUUAUAGAUCCAAAAGCUGAAUAUCUUAUUUAAGUUUGCCCAAAGAAUUAAUGUUGCCGAGUACUGAUAAUAUAUCAGAUUUAGAUAGCUCCCAAUUCUUUUUUUUUUCUUCCAUUUUCUCAUUAUUUUAUUUUUUAACCCUUUAAAACUGAAUCAUAUUUCACUUAUUUUUCCUUUUUUCCUUGCUUGGAUCCCAGUUCAGUAUUCUGCCUCAGUUAAUAUCUAUCUAUUAUCAUUAUGUAUCAUAUUUCCACCACAAUUGAUGGGAUAUUCCCAAAUAUUAUUGCAAUUAAUGCACCUACUCAAAAACCUACCAAAUUUAUUUUUGUUGAUGGCAAUGAUUAUAGUAUUGUAGCAUGCUACUACUGCUGUAUCAUUAUUAUUUAUUUUAUUUUAUCUCCAAAUAUAACUAAAAAUAAAUAAAUGUUAAUAAAUCAAAUGAACCUUAAAAUGAUGGGCUGUUUUACCAGUUAGCAAGGUCAUAAGUAAUAAACACACUACUACUAAACAUUCACUGACUUGGGUUUUACUUGACCCAUAAAAUAGUUAGUAGAUGGAGAGGUUAGAGUACAAACACUAAAUGUGUGCAAUAGUUAUCACUAUUUAGCAGUAAAUAAGCACCAAUUAAACAUAAGAAAACAAUAUAAUUAGCAUAUAACAACACUAUUUAGUGAUAUUUAUGUUGCACACUUUUAGUGUUUGUAUGCUAGUAGAUCUAAUUAGUCUAUGCUUGCAAGAGCUUUGAAUGUCUUUCUUGUCACUUCAUGUGAUUUCCACAUUACUCUCCCCCACC
Molecule: unclassified non-coding RNA, 2712 nt
Filed under: Actinia tenebrosa (Australian red waratah sea anemone)
Lineage: Eukaryota; Metazoa; Cnidaria; Anthozoa; Actiniaria; Actiniidae
Description: paraspeckle component 1-like, transcript variant X1
Source: RNAcentral